ACAGAAAAUAGCUAUUGUGAAAUAACGUCCAGAAAGAGGGAAGCAGCAAGGAAUGUGGUGUUUGUGUGCCGCAAGCAAGCAAGCGAAGAAGGUCUUCUGAGCGGUUUCUGUGAGGGGUGGGGACAGCGCAGGAGUGACUCACGCUGCCGAUCUGGAAGUUUCUUGAUGACUGAGUGGCUGGAAAUGAGUUGCAGGCAGAGCACAACGCCAUGGCAUGAAAUAAAUUGGAGAAAUGCACAGGAAAGAAUCGCUACAGAAGGCUCUGCUGCUAUACCCUGGAAGGUCCACAUCCCAGAUCCACGUUACUGACAUCACGGCUUAUACAUUAGGAUAACGUCAGAGAACUUAAAAUUGAGGAGCAUCCUUCCCACCAGAUAGAACAGCACAUUGUGCCUGCUUCUAUGAAUAAAAUCCCCCACUUGGAAGAGAGAGAGAGGAGAAAGCAAAAACAAAAAGUAAAAAAAGAGGUGAGAGGCAGAUGCCAAUAGAUAAAUGGCUACAGUUUAAUUUCGUCUCUUGGCUCAGCCAGGGGCAAGCAGCUGGCCCUUUCAUUUGACAUGGUUUAUCCUGAAGAGUAUAUAGUAUGCCUUCCUUCUCAAAG
This is a long non-coding RNA of Alexandromys fortis (reed vole), 601 nucleotides long. RefSeq lists it as uncharacterized. Lineage: Eukaryota; Metazoa; Chordata; Mammalia; Rodentia; Cricetidae. The transcript is spliced from 3 exons. The record is from RefSeq and is a predicted model, not a curated record.